GAUGAACGCUGGCGGCGUGCCUAAUACAUGCAAGUCGAGCGAACGGACGAGAAGCUUGCUUCUCUGAUGUUAGCGGCGGACGGAAGAGUCACACAUGGAUAAACUACCUAUAAGACUGGGAUAACUUCGGGAAACCGGAGCUACUACCGGAUAAUAUUUUGAACUGCAUGGUUCAAAAGUGAAAGUAGGUAUUGCUGUCAGUUAUAGAUGAACCCGGGCUGCAUUAGCUAGUUGGUAAGGUAACGGCUUACCAAGGCAACGAUGCAUAGCCGACCUGAGAGGGUGGACGGCUACCCGGUAACUGAGACACGGCCCACACUCCGACGGUGAGCAGCAGUAGGGACUCCUCCGCGAUGGACGAAAGCCUGACGGAGCAACGUCGCGGGAGUGAUGAAGGUCUUCUGAUCGUAAAACUCUGUUAUUAGGAAAGAACAUAUGUUUAAGUAACUGUGCUCAUCAUGACGGUACCUAAUCAGAAAGCCACGGCUAACUACGUG
This 497-nucleotide ribosomal RNA is filed under the name uncultured bacterium. RNAcentral's name for it is "partial 16S ribosomal RNA". It matches the Rfam family "Bacterial small subunit ribosomal RNA", at positions 28 to 507 of the family's 1533-position model. The record is from RNAcentral.